RNAcentral lists this transfer RNA (85 nucleotides) under Daedalea quercina L-15889. It matches the Rfam family "tRNA". From Rfam's summary of the family: Transfer RNA (tRNA) molecules are approximately 80 nucleotides in length. Their secondary structure includes four short double-helical elements and three loops (D, anti-codon, and T loops). Further hydrogen bonds mediate the characteristic L-shaped molecular structure. tRNAs have two regions of fundamental functional importance: the anti-codon, which is responsible for specific mRNA codon recognition, and the 3' end, to which the tRNAs corresponding amino acid is attached (by aminoacyl-tRNA synthetases). tRNAs cope with the degeneracy of the genetic code in two manners: having more than one tRNA (with a specific anti-codon) for a particular amino acid; and 'wobble' base-pairing, i.e. permitting non-standard base-pairing at the 3rd anti-codon position. Lineage: Eukaryota; Fungi; Basidiomycota; Agaricomycetes; Polyporales; Fomitopsidaceae. The record is from Rfam by way of RNAcentral.
GGUGCUAUAGUGUAGUGGUUAUCACUCGGGAUUUUGACUUUGCGUUGAAUUUCCCGAAACCCAGGUUCGAACCCUGGUAGCACCU